Pipistrellus kuhlii (Kuhl's pipistrelle) is the source of this 1052-nucleotide long non-coding RNA. RefSeq lists it as uncharacterized. The transcript is spliced from 2 exons. NCBI's taxonomy places the organism in Eukaryota, Metazoa, Chordata, Mammalia, Chiroptera, Vespertilionidae. The record is from RefSeq and is a predicted model, not a curated record.
CACAAGUGACAUUUUUGCCACUCAUUAAUUUUGUUGGGAAAAAUCCAUUUCCAUCUAGCUCAUCGAUGACAGUAAGAGAUUUGACACAGCCCAGGUUUUGUGCAGGUGCUUGAUAAGGGCUAGACCAGGCACCAAAAACACCGAGAGAGAAUGCUGAACAGCCCCAGCCUGAGUUGGCGGGGUUGCAGGAGAAUGGAGAGAAUCAGGUUAGCUGAUUUGACCUCCAGCAACUCGCAAGUGCUGUCCAGUGGCCCAGCCCAGUAGUCAGGCCGGAACCUCAUGGUGCCAUCGUUUCACAACCUCCCACCCCAACCCCUCUGCUGGGGCUACAGAACCAGUCCUGGAAACCUGAGGUCUGUGUACCUCCAAUCCACGUAUCCUGGCUGUGGAUGGCUUAUCCCCCAGCCACUCAGCUUUCAACCUGUAAGCCCAGCAGCUGUAGUUAAGUAUUAUCGUUCCUAAGAAAGGCUUCUCAGGAUUAAGAAGUUUCACCAGCUGCCCAGAAACCACUAGUGAUGAACGAUAGUUAUAAUUGGGCACUUCCCCAAAGCAAAAAAUAAACAUUGUGAACUACCUUUAUCAGAUCUGAAUCCUAGGGACACUCAUUUUCAGAAAGAAAGUCCUACAUGACAGACACAGAGCACAUUUCAAAUAAACCAUUUUUCAAAUAAAGAUCAAAAUAAGAGGCAAUAUUCAAGUGCUAUAAUGAACAACAAAAUUUUUAGUAUAUGACUAUGUAUUUUCUCACAAAUAGAAAAAGGCCUGAACCCAUAAAAUAGUUUAGAUGGGGUAAAACCAGGGCUUCCAACAUUUCUCUCUCUGUUAACUGAACUGCAGGUGGAAUUAUGAAAGGGUGCAAGCCAAUGUGCAUUCAGUGGGUCUCACGAUAGGUGAAGCAUUAUGCUAAGUGAAAGCCCUCUCCAUAACUCCACAAGGUUCAUAGACAGUGCUGUAAAAAAUAAAGUGGUUAGGUUGUUGGAAUAGGCUAAAUAAUCCUCCAUCUAUCAGUAAUAAAAACCUAUUUUCUAAUCUUGCAAUUUAAAAAAUUGCUU